This 429-nucleotide ribosomal RNA is filed under the name Bacteroidota bacterium. RNAcentral describes it as "Bacteroidetes bacterium partial 16S ribosomal RNA". It matches the Rfam family "Bacterial small subunit ribosomal RNA", at positions 355 to 776 of the family's 1533-position model. RNAcentral also lists the same sequence under 1 other name. The record is from RNAcentral. Lineage: Bacteria; Pseudomonadati; Bacteroidota.
UAGGGAAUCUUCGGCAAUGGGGGGAACCCUGACCGAGCAACGCCGCGUGAGUGAAGAAGGUUUUCGGAUCGUAAGGCUCUGUUGUUAAGGAAGAACGAGUGUGAGAAUGGAAAGUUCAUGCUGUGACGGUACUUAACCAGAAAGGGACGGCUAACUACGUGCCAGCAGCCGCGGUAAUACGUAGGUCCCGAGCGUUGUCCGGAUUUAUUGGGCGUAAAGCGAGCGCAGGCGGUUAGAAAAGUCUGAAGUGAAAGGCAGUGGCUCAACCAUUGUAGGCUUUGGAAACUGUUUAACUUGAGUGCAGAAGGGGAGAGUGGAAUUCCAUGUGUAGCGGUGAAAUGCGUAGAUAUAUGGAGGAACACCGGUGGCGAAAGCGGCUCUCUGGUCUGUAACUGACGCUGAGGCUCGAAAGCGUGGGGAGCGAACAGG